ACGAACGCUGGCGGCGUGCCUAAUACCUGCAAGUAGAACGCACAGUUUAUACCGUAGCUUGCUACACCAUAGACUGUGAGUUGCGAACGGGUGAGUAACGCGUAGGUAACCUGCCUGGUAGCGGGGGAUAACUAUUGGAAACGAUAGCUAAUACCGCAUAAUAUUAAUUAUUGCAUGAUAAUUAAUUGAAAGGUGCAAUUGCACCACUACCAGAUGGACCUGCGUUGUAUUAGCUAGUAGGUGAGGUAACGGCUCACCUAGGCGACGAUACAUAGCCGACCUGAGAGGGUGAUCGGCCACACUGGGACUGAGACACGGCCCAGACUCCUACGGGAGGCAGCAGUAGGGAAUCUUCGGCAAUAGACGAAAGUCUGACCGAGCAACGCCGCGUGAGUGAAGAAGGUUUUCGGAUCGUAAAGCUCUGUUGUAAGAGAAGAACGGGUGUGAGAGUGGAAAGUUCACACUGUGACGGUAUCUUACCAGAAAGGGACGGCUAACUACGUG
RNAcentral lists this ribosomal RNA (504 nucleotides) under uncultured bacterium. Its description in RNAcentral is "partial 16S ribosomal RNA". It matches the Rfam family "Bacterial small subunit ribosomal RNA", at positions 29 to 507 of the family's 1533-position model. The record is from RNAcentral.